Molecule: transfer RNA, 89 nt
Filed under: Campylobacterota bacterium
Lineage: Bacteria; Pseudomonadati; Campylobacterota
Description: tRNA-Ser
Rfam family: tRNA
About the family: Transfer RNA (tRNA) molecules are approximately 80 nucleotides in length. Their secondary structure includes four short double-helical elements and three loops (D, anti-codon, and T loops).
Source: RNAcentral
GGACAGGUGGCCGAGUGGUUGAAGGCGACAGUCUCGAAAACUGUUAUACCCUUUGGGUAUCGUGGGUUCGAAUCCCACCCUGUCCGCCA